This 253-nucleotide ribosomal RNA is filed under the name uncultured bacterium. RNAcentral's name for it is "partial 16S ribosomal RNA". It matches the Rfam family "Bacterial small subunit ribosomal RNA", at positions 524 to 776 of the family's 1533-position model. The record is from RNAcentral.
UACAGAGGGUGCAAGCGUUGUUCGGAAUUACUGGGCGUAAAGCGUCUGUAGGUGGUCAAAUAAGUCAACUGUUAAAUCUUGAGGCUCAACCUCAAAAUCGCAGUCGAAACUAUUAGACUAGAGUAUAGUAGGGGUAAAGGGAAUUUCCAGUGGAGCGGUGAAAUGCGUAGAGAUUGGAAAGAACACCGAUGGCGAAGGCACUUUACUGGGCUAUUACUAACACUCAGAGACGAAAGCUAGGGUAGCAAAUGGG